CGCAUCUGUGCAUGCAGCAUAUCAAUAAGCGGAGGAAAAGAAACUAACAAGGAUUCCCCUAGUAACGGCGAGUGAAGCGGGAAGAGCUCAAAUUUGAAAUCUUAAAGGGUUUCCCUUUACGAAUUGUAGUUUAAAGAAGUGUUUUCUGUUGAGGUUUUGGUAAAAGUUCUUUGGAAUAGGACAUCAUAGAGGGUGAGAAUCCCGUAUUUGACCUUUACUUUCAACUUUGUGAUACACUUUCAAAGAGUCGGAUUGUUUGGGAAUGCAGUCCAAAAUGGGUGGUAAAUUUCAUCUAAAGCUAAAUAUUGGCGAGAGACCGAUAGCGAACAAGUACCGUGAGGGAAUGAUGAAAAGAACUUUGAAAAGAGAGUUAAACAGUACGUGAAAUUGUCAAAAGGGAAGCGUUUGACACCAGUGUUGUUUUUCUGAAAAUCAAUUAAAGAACUGUUUAUGCUAAGUUGUUUAGACUUUAUCAGCUAACUGUUUAGUUUUGAGCUUUUCUUUAAUGCACUUUUCAGUUAACAAGUCAACAUCAAUUUCUUUUGCUGUAAAAAAGCUUGAGGAAGGUGGCUUGAGAUUCGUCUUAAGUGUUUAUAGCCUCUUGCCUAUGCAGUCGGAGAGAUUGAGGUCUGCAGCGUAGAUCCUUCGGGGCUAAAUGCAUUUGUGCUAAGUUAUAGCAUUUUAUAGACAACUUGUUGACUAUGAUUUGUCUUGUAGCUUACUCGCUUAUGUUAUUUUACCUACGCUUAGGAUGUUGACAGCAGUAUAGACUGUA
RNAcentral lists this ribosomal RNA (775 nucleotides) under uncultured Neocallimastigales. Its description in RNAcentral is "partial large subunit ribosomal RNA". It matches the Rfam family "Eukaryotic large subunit ribosomal RNA", at positions 26 to 630 of the family's 3401-position model. The record is from RNAcentral. Lineage: Eukaryota; Fungi; Neocallimastigomycota; Neocallimastigomycetes; Neocallimastigales.